ACGGAGGGUGCAAGCGUUAUUCGGAUUUACUGGGCGUAAAGGGAGCGCAGGCUGCCAGAUAAGUCAGAUGUGAAAGCCCGGGGCUCAACCCCGGAAGUGCAUUUGAAACUGUUUGGCUUGAGUAUGGUAGAGGGAAGUGGAAUUCCAGGUGUAGCGGUGAAAUGCGUAGAUAUCUGGAGGAACACCGGUGGCGAAGGCGACUUCCUGGACCAAUACUGACGCUGAGGCUCGAAGGUGUGGGUAGCAAACAGG
RNAcentral lists this ribosomal RNA (252 nucleotides) under uncultured bacterium. Its description in RNAcentral is "partial 16S ribosomal RNA". It matches the Rfam family "Bacterial small subunit ribosomal RNA", at positions 525 to 776 of the family's 1533-position model. The record is from RNAcentral.